Molecule: long non-coding RNA, 398 nt
Organism: Wasmannia auropunctata (little fire ant)
Lineage: Eukaryota; Metazoa; Arthropoda; Insecta; Hymenoptera; Formicidae
Exons: 2
Source: RefSeq, a predicted model, not a curated record
UAUUAUACACUAAUCUAGUAUAAUGCAAGUGACCGAAUAUAAUUUACAAACUUAUCAAAUACAAAAUUCUUAUUUCAGUACAAAAUUUGGGUGAAACCUUCGGCGGAGCAACAGUUUCUUUAUGGGCAUCAUAUUAUGAAAUCGGGUCUCGCUCGUAUGACGGAGGGUAUUUCUCAAUAUCAAGGCGUCGUCGUGUUUAGUAUGACCGAUUUGCCACUGGGAUUUGGCAUCGCUGCAAAAAGUACAGUCGAUUGCAAACACGCGGAUCCCGUGGCAGUAGUUUGCUUUCACCAAGCAGAUAUUGGAGAGUACAUUCGUUCAGAAGAUACGUUAUUGUAACAAAAAUUUACAUUCUUUUUUUUUAGGAAAACGAAAUAUAUAUCUAAUUUGUACAGCAA